Molecule: non-coding RNA, 65 nt
Organism: Dipodomys ordii (Ord's kangaroo rat)
Lineage: Eukaryota; Metazoa; Chordata; Mammalia; Rodentia; Heteromyidae
Source: Rfam
GGUGGCUCAGUGGUAGAGCGCUUGCCUUGCAAGCAUGAGGCCCUGGGUUCAAUUCCUCAGUACCA